ACUCCUACGGGAGGCAGCAGUGGGGAAUUUUGGACAAUGGGCGCAAGCCUGAUCCAGCAAUGCCGCGUGCAGGAUGAAGGCCUUCGGGUUGUAAACUGCUUUUGUACGGAACGAAAAGCCCUGGGUUAAUACCCUGGGGUCAUGACGGUACCGUAAGAAUAAGCACCGGCUAACUACGUGCCAGCAGCCGCGGUAAU
RNAcentral lists this ribosomal RNA (197 nucleotides) under uncultured bacterium. Its description in RNAcentral is "partial 16S ribosomal RNA". It matches the Rfam family "Bacterial small subunit ribosomal RNA", at positions 335 to 524 of the family's 1533-position model. RNAcentral also lists the same sequence under 1 other name. The record is from RNAcentral.